GGUGAACGCUGGCGGUAGGCCUAACACAUGCAAGUCGAACGGCAGCACAGUAAGAGCUUGCUCUUACGGGUGGCGAGUGGCGGACGGGUGAGGAAUACAUCGGAAUCUACUUUUUCGUGGGGGGUAACGUAGGGAAACUUACGCUAAUACCGCAUACGUCCUACGGGUGAAAGCAGGGGAUCUUCGGACCUUGCGCGAGUGAAUGAGCCGAUGUCGGAUUAGCUAGUUGGCGGGGUAAAGGCCCACCAAGGCGACGAUCCGUAGCUGGUCUGAGAGGAUGAUCAGCCACACUGGAACUGAGACACGGUCCAGACUCCUACGGGAGGCAGCAGUGGGGAAUAUUGGACAAUGGGCGCAAGCCUGAUCCAGCCAUACCGCGUGGGUGAAGAAGGCCUUCGGGUUGUAAAGCCCUUUUGUUGGGAAAGAAAAGCAGCAGGUUAAUACCCCGCUGUUCUGACGGUACCCAAAGAAUAAGCACCGGCUAACUUCGUG
RNAcentral lists this ribosomal RNA (492 nucleotides) under uncultured bacterium. RNAcentral's name for it is "partial 16S ribosomal RNA". It matches the Rfam family "Bacterial small subunit ribosomal RNA", at positions 28 to 507 of the family's 1533-position model. The record is from RNAcentral.